UGGUAGUNCACGCCCUAAACGAUGUCGAUUAGCUGUUGGGCAGCAUGACUGCUUAGUAGCGAAGCUAACGCGUGAAAUCGACCGCCUGGGGAGUACGGUCGCAAGAUUAAAACUCAAAGGAAUUGACGGGGACCCGCACAAGCGGUGGAUGAUGUGGAUUAAUUCGAUGCAACGCGAAGAACCUUACCUGGUCUUGACAUGGACGGAACCCUCCAGAGACGGAGGGGUGCCUUCGGGAGCCGUAACACAGGUGCUGCAUGGCUGUCGUCAGCUCGUGUCGUGAGAUGUUGGGUUAAGUCCCGCAACGAGCGCAACCCUUGUCAUUAGUUGCCAUCAUUAAGUUGGGCACUCUAAUGAGACUGCCGGUGACAAGCCGGAGGAAGGUGGGGAUGACGUCAAGUCCUCAUGGCCCUUAUGACCAGGGCUUCACACGUCAUACAAUGGUCGGUACAGAGGGUAGCCAAGCCGCGAGGUGGAGCCAAUCACACAAAACCGAUCGUAGUCCGGAUUGCACUCUGCAACUCGAGUGCAUGAAGUCGGAAUCGCUAGUAAUCGCAGGUCAGCAUACUGCGGUGAAUACGUUCCCGGGUCUUGUAC
Molecule: ribosomal RNA, 597 nt
Filed under: uncultured bacterium
Lineage: Bacteria
Description: bacterial SSU rRNA
Rfam family: Bacterial small subunit ribosomal RNA
Source: RNAcentral